Molecule: ribosomal RNA, 254 nt
Filed under: uncultured bacterium
Lineage: Bacteria
Description: partial 16S ribosomal RNA
Rfam family: Bacterial small subunit ribosomal RNA
Source: RNAcentral
UACGUAGGGGGCGAGCGUUGUCCGGAUUUAUUGGGCGUAAAGAGCUCGUAGGCGGUUUGGCAAGUCGGGUGUGAAAACUCCGGGCUCAACUCGGAGACGCCACUCGAUACUGCCAUGACUCGAGUCCGGUAGGGGAGUGCGGAAUUCCUGGUGUAGCGGUGAAAUGCGCAGAUAUCAGGAAGAACACCGAUGGCGAAAGCAGCUCUCUGGGACGGUACUGACGCUGAGGCGCGAAAGCGUGGGGAGCGAACAGG